RNAcentral lists this ribosomal RNA (460 nucleotides) under uncultured bacterium. Its description in RNAcentral is "partial 16S ribosomal RNA". It matches the Rfam family "Bacterial small subunit ribosomal RNA", at positions 338 to 795 of the family's 1533-position model. The record is from RNAcentral.
CCUACGGGUGGCAGCAGUGAGGAAUAUUGGUCAAUGGGCGCGCGCCUGAACCAGCCAAGUAGCGUGAAGGAUGACUGCCCUACGGGUUUUAAACUUCUUUUAUAAAGGAAUAAAGUGAGGCACUUGUGCCUUUUUGUGUGUCCUUUAUGCAUAAGGCUCGGCUAACUCCGUGCCAGCAGCCGCGGUAAUACGGAGGAUCCGAGCGUUAUCCGGAUUUAUUUGGUUUAAAGGGCGCGUAGAUGGGUUGUUAAGUCAGUUGUGAAAGUUUGCGGCUCAACCGUAAAAUUGCAAUUGAUACUGGCAGCCUUGAGAACAGUUGAGGUAGGCGGAAUUCGUGGUGUAGCGGUGAAAUGCUUAGAUAUCACGAAGAACUCCGAUUGCGAAGGCAGCUUACUAAACUGCCACUGACAUUGAUGCUCGAAAGUGUGGGUAUCAAACAGGAUUAGAUACCCGGGUAGUC